UACGUAGGGUGCGAGCGUUGUCCGGAUUUAUUGGGCGUAAAGAGCUUGUAGGCGGUUUGUCGCGUCUGCUGUGAAAUUUCGGGGCUCAACCCCGAACUUGCAGUGGGUACGGGCAGACUAGAGUGUGGUAGGGGAGACUGGAAUUCCUGGUGUAGCGGUGAAAUGCGCAGAUAUCAGGAGGAACACCGAUGGCGAAGGCAGGUCUCUGGGCCACUACUGACGCUGAGAAGCGAAAGCAUGGGGAGCGAACAGG
RNAcentral lists this ribosomal RNA (253 nucleotides) under uncultured bacterium. RNAcentral's name for it is "partial 16S ribosomal RNA". It matches the Rfam family "Bacterial small subunit ribosomal RNA", at positions 524 to 776 of the family's 1533-position model. The record is from RNAcentral.